CAAUAGCGUAUAUUAAAGUUGUUGCAGUUAAAAAGCUCGUAGUUGGAUUUGUGGCGUACGGUGUGUUCCGGGCACUUGUUGUCUGAGUAACCUGCUGUUGCCAUCCUUGGGUGGAACCUGUGUGGCAUUAGGUUGUCGUGCAGGGGAUGCCCAUCAUUUACUGUGAAAAAAUUAGAGUGUUUAAAGCAGGCUUAUGCCGUUGAGUAUAUUAGCAUGGAAUAAUAAGAUAGGACUUCGGAACUAUUUUGUUGGUUUGCGUUACGAAGUAAUGAUUAAUAGGGACAGUUGGGGGUAUUCGUAUUUCGUUGUCAGAGGUGAAAUUCUUGGAUUUCCGAAAGACGAACUACUGCGAAAGCAUUUACCAAGGAUGUUUUCAUUAA
RNAcentral lists this ribosomal RNA (380 nucleotides) under uncultured eukaryote. Its description in RNAcentral is "partial 18S ribosomal RNA". It matches the Rfam family "Eukaryotic small subunit ribosomal RNA", at positions 592 to 976 of the family's 1831-position model. The record is from RNAcentral.